This 255-nucleotide ribosomal RNA is filed under the name Salmonella enterica. RNAcentral describes it as "partial 16S ribosomal RNA". It matches the Rfam family "Bacterial small subunit ribosomal RNA", at positions 1 to 252 of the family's 1533-position model. Lineage: Bacteria; Pseudomonadati; Pseudomonadota; Gammaproteobacteria; Enterobacterales; Enterobacteriaceae. RNAcentral also lists the same sequence under 5 other names. The record is from RNAcentral.
AAAUUGAAGAGUUUGAUCAUGGCUCAGAUUGAACGCUGGCGGCAGGCCUAACACAUGCAAGUCGAACGGUAACAGGAAGCAGCUUGCUGCUUUGCUGACGAGUGGCGGACGGGUGAGUAAUGUCUGGGAAACUGCCUGAUGGAGGGGGAUAACUACUGGAAACGGUGGCUAAUACCGCAUAACGUCGCAAGACCAAAGAGGGGGACCUUCGGGCCUCUUGCCAUCAGAUGUGCCCAGAUGGGAUUAGCUUGUUGG